RNAcentral lists this microRNA precursor (153 nucleotides) under Citrus sinensis (sweet orange). RNAcentral describes it as "miR166f stem-loop (csi-MIR166f)". Its record names the gene csi-MIR166f. The stretch from base 24 to 128 matches the Rfam family "mir-166 microRNA precursor family". Rfam says of the family: This family represents the plant microRNA (miRNA) precursor mir-166. The record is from miRBase by way of RNAcentral. Lineage: Eukaryota; Viridiplantae; Streptophyta; Magnoliopsida; Sapindales; Rutaceae.
AUGGAUGGGGAAAAAUGAUUGUUUCUGAGGGGACUGUUGUCUGGCUCGAUGCAUUAAUAAUAAUUAUAAUUAUAUAAUUAUAAUUAUAAUGAAAAAAGGGUAUCGGACCAGGCUUCAUUCCCUUCAGAAUCAAAUUCAUUAUUUGAUCUUUUU